CCAUGGUGGCGCGCGGAGGCGCCCGCGCGCUACUGACGCGCGCGGAGCGACGCCAGAUAGGCGUUGUACGCCUCCAGCUCGGC
This 83-nucleotide transfer RNA is filed under the name Streptomyces toxytricini. RNAcentral describes it as "tRNA-Ser". Lineage: Bacteria; Bacillati; Actinomycetota; Actinomycetes; Kitasatosporales; Streptomycetaceae. RNAcentral also lists the same sequence under 1 other name. The record is from RNAcentral.